RNAcentral lists this ribosomal RNA (400 nucleotides) under uncultured dinoflagellate. Its description in RNAcentral is "partial small subunit ribosomal RNA". It matches the Rfam family "Eukaryotic small subunit ribosomal RNA", at positions 30 to 432 of the family's 1831-position model. Lineage: Eukaryota; Dinophyceae. The record is from RNAcentral.
GCUUGUCUCAAAGAUUAAGCCAUGCAUGUCUAAGUAUAAAUGUUAUACAGUGAAACUGCGAAUGGCUCAUUAAAACAGUUAUAGUUUAUUUGAUAAUCGAAUUUACAUGGAUAACCGUGGUAAUUCUAGAGCUAAUACAUGCUGUUUUGCCUGACUCUGUGGUAAGGCUGUGCUUAUUAGUACCAGAACCAACCCAAGUUCUGCUUGGUUGCAUCCUGAUUCAUAAUAAACGAAUGGAUUGCAUGCUUUGGCUGGCAAUGUAGCAUCUAAGUUUCUGACCUAUCAGCUUCCGACGGUAAGGUAUUGGCUUACCGUGGCAAUGACGGGUAACGGAGAAUUAGGGUUUGAUUCCGGAGAGGGAGCCUGAGAAACGGCUACCACAUCUAAGGAAGGCAGCAGG